UUGAGCGCUGAAGGUUGGUACUUGUACCGCACUGGAAGAGCAGCGAACGGGUGAGUAACGCGUGGGGAAUCUGCCGUUUGAGCGGGGGACAACAUUUGGAAACGAAUGCUAAUACCGCAUAAAAGCUUUAAACAUAAGUUAAAAGUUUGAAAGAUGCAAAUGCAUCACUCAAAGAUGAUCCCGCGUUGUAUUAGCUAGUUGGUAGGGUAAAGGCCUACCAAGGCGAUGAUACAUAGCCGACCUGAGAGGGUGAUCGGCCACAUUGGGACUGAGACACGGCCCAAACUCCUACGGGAGGCAGCAGUAGGGAAUCUUCGGCAAUGGGGGCAACCCUGACCGAGCAACGCCGCGUGAGUGAAGAAGGUUUUCGGAUCGUAAAACUCUGUUGUUAGAGAAGAACGUGUGUGGGAGUGGAAAAUCCAUGCAGUGACGGUAUCUAACCAGAAAGGGACGGCUAACUACGUGCCAGCAGCCGCGGUAAUACGUAGGUCCCGAGCGUUGUCCGGAUUUAUUGGGCGUAAAGCGAGCGCAGGUGGUUUAUUAAGUCUGGUGUAAAAGGCAGUGGCUCAACCAUUGUAUGCAUUGGAAACUGGUAGACUUGAGUGCAGGAGAGGAGAGUGGAAUUCCCAUGUGUACGCGGUGAAAUGCGUAUGAUAUAGUGGAUGGAACCCCGGUGGCGAAAGGCGGCUCU
Molecule: ribosomal RNA, 691 nt
Filed under: Lactococcus sp. INBio3692F
Lineage: Bacteria; Bacillati; Bacillota; Bacilli; Lactobacillales; Streptococcaceae
Description: bacterial SSU rRNA
Rfam family: Bacterial small subunit ribosomal RNA
Source: RNAcentral